GACGAACGCUGGCGGCGUGCUUAACACAUGCAAGUCGAACGGAACUCUUUGGAUCGAGACUUCGGUCAAGUGAAUUUGAGUUUAGUGGCGGACGGGUGAGUAACGCGUGGGUAACCUGCCUCAUACAGGGGGAUAACAGUUAGAAAUGACUGCUAAUACCGCAUAAGCGCACAGGACCGCAUGGUCUGGUGUGAAAAACUCCGGUGGUAUGAGAUGGACCCGCGUCUGAUUAGCUAGUUGGUGGGGUAACGGCCUACCAAGGCGACGAUCAGUAGCCGGCCUGAGAGGGUGAACGGCCACAUUGGGACUGAGACACGGCCCAAACUCCUACGGGAGGCAGCAGUGGGGAAUAUUGCACAAUGGGGGAAACCCUGAUGCAGCGACGCCGCGUGAGUGAAGAAGUAUUUCGGUAUGUAAAGCUCUAUCAGCAGGGAAGAAAAUGACGGUACCUGACUAAGAAGCACCGGCUAAAUACGUG
RNAcentral lists this ribosomal RNA (478 nucleotides) under uncultured bacterium. Its description in RNAcentral is "bacterial SSU rRNA". It matches the Rfam family "Bacterial small subunit ribosomal RNA", at positions 28 to 507 of the family's 1533-position model. The record is from RNAcentral.